RNAcentral lists this ribosomal RNA (423 nucleotides) under uncultured bacterium. Its description in RNAcentral is "bacterial SSU rRNA". It matches the Rfam family "Bacterial small subunit ribosomal RNA", at positions 1014 to 1498 of the family's 1533-position model. The record is from RNAcentral.
AGCGUAUUCACUUGGUCCCCCAGGCAGCCCAGGCCCUCGUCCCGUUUCCCGCCUAGGGUCCCCGCUCUUCAGGGCUCCCUUUUGGCCGCGCGGGGUCGAGUCGCGUGGGUCCCAUGGCCCUUAACACCUGGGCUACAGCACAUCCUACAAUGGCCGGUAACAGAGGGCAGCAAGACCGCCAGGUGGAGCUAAAUCCCAAAAAUCCGGUCCCAGUUCGGAUCGCAGUCUGCAACUCGACUCCGUAAAGUCGGAAUCGCUAGUAACCCCAGAUCAGCUAUCCUGCGGUGAAUACGUUCCCGGGCCUUGUACACACCGCCCGUCAAGUGACCUGAGUCGGUUGCACCCGAAGUCGAUGGCCCAACCCGCAAGGGAGGGAGUCGCCGAAGGUGUGGCCGGUAAGGGGCGCUAAGUCGUAACAAGGUA